GAUCCUGGCUCAGGAUGAACGCUGGCGGCGUGCUUAACACAUGCAAGUCGAACGAAGCAACCAUGAAGCCUGGCGAUUGGUUGACUGAGUGGCGGACGGGUGAGUAACGCGUGGGUAACCUGCCUCAUACAGGGGGACAACAGUUAGAAAUGACUGCUAAUACCGCAUAACCCGCUAGGGCCGCAUGGCCCGGACGGAAAAGGAGUAAUCCGGUAUGAGAUGGACCCGCGUCUGAUUAGCUGG
This 243-nucleotide ribosomal RNA is filed under the name uncultured bacterium. RNAcentral describes it as "partial 16S ribosomal RNA". It matches the Rfam family "Bacterial small subunit ribosomal RNA", at positions 15 to 248 of the family's 1533-position model. The record is from RNAcentral.